RNAcentral lists this RNase P RNA (356 nucleotides) under Candidatus Margulisiibacteriota bacterium. RNAcentral describes it as "RNase P RNA component class A". It matches the Rfam family "Bacterial RNase P class A". Rfam says of the family: Ribonuclease P (RNase P) is a ubiquitous endoribonuclease, found in archaea, bacteria and eukarya as well as chloroplasts and mitochondria. Its best characterised activity is the generation of mature 5'-ends of tRNAs by cleaving the 5'-leader elements of precursor-tRNAs. Lineage: Bacteria; Bacillati; Candidatus Margulisiibacteriota. The record is from RNAcentral.
GCGGCAGACGAGACGAUCGCGUCGGCUAAUCAGCCGCCGAGGAAAGUCCGGGCUCCCGCGGGCAGCGCAGCACCUAACGGGUGUCCGCCGUUGGCGACGGUUGUCUUUCUCCGUCAGGGGAAAACAACUGUGGCCGCAAGGCGAGGACUAGUGCCACAGAGACGAUGUACAGGUUCUUUUAUUUAGAAUGCUGUAGUGAAAAGAGGUAAACUCUGCGCGGAGCAAGAGCAAAUAGAGGACGAGAGCGCCCGCCUCGUUACAGUCCCGGGUUGCUUGCUUGAGCUUGUCCGGCAACGGCAAGCCUAGAUAAAUGAUCGUCUGAAAAACAGAACCCGGCUUACCAGUUUGCCGUAAAC